This 494-nucleotide ribosomal RNA is filed under the name Escherichia coli. RNAcentral describes it as "bacterial SSU rRNA". It matches the Rfam family "Bacterial small subunit ribosomal RNA", at positions 1 to 484 of the family's 1533-position model. Lineage: Bacteria; Pseudomonadati; Pseudomonadota; Gammaproteobacteria; Enterobacterales; Enterobacteriaceae. The record is from RNAcentral.
AAAUUGAAGAGUUUGAUCAUGGCUCAGAUUGAACGCUGGCGGCAGGCCUAACACAUGCAAGUCGAACGGUAACAGGAAGAAGCUUGCUUCUUUGCUGACGAGUGGCGGACGGGUGAGUAAUGUCUGGGAAACUGCCUGAUGGAGGGGGAUAACUACUGGAAACGGUAGCUAAUACCGCAUAACGUCGCAAGACCAAAGAGGGGGACCUUCGGGCCUCUUGCCAUCGGAUGUGCCCAGAUGGGAUUAGCUAGUAGGUGGGGUAACGGCUCACCUAGGCGACGAUCCCUAGCUGGUCUGAGAGGAUGACCAGCCACACUGGAACUGAGACACGGUCCAGACUCCUACGGGAGGCAGCAGUGGGGAAUAUUGCACAAUGGGCGCAAGCCUGAUGCAGCCAUGCCGCGUGUAUGAAGAAGGCCUUCGGGUUGUAAAGUACUUUCAGCGGGGAGGAAGGGAGUAAAGUUAAUACCUUUACUCAUUGACGUUACCCGCAG